This 751-nucleotide non-coding RNA is filed under the name Lepas anserifera. The record is from RNAcentral. Lineage: Eukaryota; Metazoa; Arthropoda; Thecostraca; Lepadidae.
GAUCAUUGUGGUCCAAUUUGUAGGUUAAACUUUCUUCCAAUUUUACAUGUCAGUCAAAAUGAGACACCUUUCUUCGUAUAAUGAUGGUGGAUAGGCUCAGUAGAUUUAACUGGUUUCAAGGUAAUCUGGGCCCGGUUAGGAAGCAAGGAGCGGUAGGUUAGCGUGCCAGCAACCGCGGUCAUACGUUAGCUUCGAGUUUAAGAAAGUAUAUGAGAUAACUCCCGAGAGCAAUUGUUUUAAAGAAGGAUUUCAAGAUGAGUAGAAUCUUUUGAAGUUACUCCUAUAAAACCUCUGGAGCAGAAUGAAGAGGUAGCUACCAGGAUUAGAUACCCUGUUAAUUCUUCUAAAACUAUCUUAAAACACUAGCUUUGUGUUAAAUUUAUUGGAUUUGGCGGCAAAGUACCCUUUUAGAGGAACCUGCCCUGUAAACGAUGGACCGCGACUUCCUUACUUCUUUUUGAAACCCAGUUUAUAUACCGCUGUUGUCAGUUAGUUUCUUUAGAAAUCUAUCUUCUAUUUAAUAUAAAUAUACUUCAAGUAAAGGUGCAGCUUAUGAAGAAGAGAGAGGUGGGUUACAAUUAGACGAUUAAUCAUGGAUUAGCCUCUUAAAUAUGGCUUUGAAGGUGGAUUUAAUAGUAAGAUUUCAACAAAUCUGAUCCGAGCUAUACUUUGUGCACAAACCGCCCGUCGCUCUCUUGGUUGGGAUAAGUCGUAACAAGGUGAGUGCAUCGGAAGUUGUACUCGUUGAGAA